Molecule: non-coding RNA, 749 nt
Organism: Arachis ipaensis
Lineage: Eukaryota; Viridiplantae; Streptophyta; Magnoliopsida; Fabales; Fabaceae
Source: RefSeq, a predicted model, not a curated record
ACACACAACGCACUACACUCUUCUUUACACACACAGCAACAACUUCAAAAAAAAGAAACAAAAAGAAAGAAAGGGGAAGAAGGAAGGGGGAUCGAGGAAGGAAGGAGAGGGGGCAGAAGAGUGAGGCGGCGCGGUGGGUGUCACUGCCACCAUAGCCGCCGCUGCUGACAGAGGAGAGAGAGAAGAUCUGAGAGAAAAGGAGAGUGUCACGAGGGAGCCGCCGUGCUGCCCAGGAUCGCCGUCGCGUCGCGUCGUCUUUUGCACCAGCGCCGAGGAGGACCGCACGAGAAGGACCGCCAUUUUGCGCCGCCACUGUGGCUCUUGUCGCCGCUGGACCUGUCGCCGUCGCCACCAACAUCCACCGCCGUUGAGGUUGUCGCUGAUGGGAGAGGAUGAAGCUGCCCAUGUCGUCGCCGUGAGGAGCCGCGAGUCCCGUCGCCGUCAUCAUCACAAAUGGUGUCGCCGUUGUGGUUGAACCCAGCCGCCACCAUCGCAAGCUCCGUCGCCACCGUUGGAGGUGGGUUGCCGAGCCGGUGUCACCGAAAAAUGGCGUUGUCGUAGCUGAGGUCCAUUGCUGUUGCCGUCGCUGAGCUUCUGGCCGCCGGGAACGGUGCUGUGGCCGCUGGAACCUUAGUUUGAGUCGCUGCUGUUAGUCACUAAUGGAGGUUGAGUAUUGACGCUAGUGUUGCCGUGGGGCUGCUAAAGCUGCUGCUAGUUCUGAUUUUGUUAUCUUGGUACAAAUGUUACUG